This 120-nucleotide transfer RNA is filed under the name Phialophora macrospora. RNAcentral's name for it is "tRNA-iMet (CAT) (tRNA-iMet-CAT-1-1)". The record is from RNAcentral. Lineage: Eukaryota; Fungi; Ascomycota; Eurotiomycetes; Chaetothyriales; Herpotrichiellaceae.
AGCAACGUGGCGCAGCGGAAGCGUGAGUACAAUCCGCACCUAAUACAGAAUUUAAUUAACACGUGACCAGGCGCCGGGCUCAUAACCCGGAGGACCUUGGAUCGAAACCAAGCGUUGCUA